AGAUAUGGGUCUCUUCACCUAUU
Molecule: small nuclear RNA, 23 nt
Filed under: Arabidopsis thaliana (thale cress)
Lineage: Eukaryota; Viridiplantae; Streptophyta; Magnoliopsida; Brassicales; Brassicaceae
Description: snRNA_10732
Source: RNAcentral